AACGAAUUAUUCCCAUAGCUUGCUAUGAGAAUAAUUAGUGGCAGACGGGUGAGUAAUGCAUAGGAAUCUACCUAGUAGUAUAGGAUAGCCACUAGAAGUGGUGGGUAAUACUGUAUAAUCCCUGCGGGGGAAAGAUUUAUCGCUACAUGAUGAGCCUAUGUUAGAUUAGCUAGUUGGUAGGGUAAAGGCCUACCAAGGCAGUGAUCUAUAGCUGGUCUGAGAGGAUGAUCAGCCACACUGGAACUGAGACACGGUCCAGACUCCUACGGGAGGCAGCAGUGGGGAAUAUUGGACAAUGGGCGCAAGCCUGAUCCAGCUAUGCCGCGUGAGUGAGGAAGGCCUUAGGGUUGUAAAGCUCUUUCAGUGGGGAAGAUAAUGACGGUACCCACAGAAGAAGUCCCGGCAAACUCCGUGCCAGCAGCCGCGGUAAUACGGAGGGGGCAAGCGUUGUUCGGAAUUAUUGGGCGUAAAGGGCAUGUAGGUGGUCUAGUUAGUUAAAGGUGAAAUGCCAGGGCUUAACCCUGGAGCUGCUUUUAAUACUGCUAGACUGGAGUCCGGGAGAGGAU
RNAcentral lists this ribosomal RNA (566 nucleotides) under uncultured Anaplasma sp. RNAcentral's name for it is "bacterial SSU rRNA". It matches the Rfam family "Bacterial small subunit ribosomal RNA", at positions 65 to 659 of the family's 1533-position model. The record is from RNAcentral. Lineage: Bacteria; Pseudomonadati; Pseudomonadota; Alphaproteobacteria; Rickettsiales; Anaplasmataceae.